GACGAACGCUGGCGGCGUGCUUAACACAUGCGAGUCGAACGGUGAAGGGGUCUGCUUUUGUGGGCCCUGGACGAGUGGCGAACGGGUGAGUAACACGUGAGUAACCUGCCCCCGUAGUCUGGAUAACCGCAUGAAAGUGUGGCUAAAACGGGAUACGCUGGGUCAGUCGAAAGAGGGGUCUGGGAGAGAUUGGGCCUUGGGGGGGCUCAGGUGGGGGAUGGGCGCGCGGGCGAUAAGCUUGUAGGUGGGGUGAGGGCCUAACAAGGCGGGGACGGGUGGCCGAGCUGAGAGCGUGCACCAUCACACUGGGACUAAGACACAGCCCAGACUGCUACGGGAGGCAGCAGAAGAUUAUAUUACGCGAUGAACGCUAGUCUGAUGCAGCGGCGCCGCGUGAGAGAUGGUGCCCUUCGGGUUGUAAUCCUCUUUCGCCAGUGAAGCGGGCCUUCUCCUUGUGUGUGGAUUGACGUUAGCUGGAUAAGAAGCGCCGGCUAACUACGUG
RNAcentral lists this ribosomal RNA (502 nucleotides) under uncultured bacterium. RNAcentral's name for it is "partial 16S ribosomal RNA". It matches the Rfam family "Bacterial small subunit ribosomal RNA", at positions 28 to 507 of the family's 1533-position model. The record is from RNAcentral.